GUAUUUGAAAGAAUGCUGGUAGGUUGUGCGACAUCUGUCACCCCGUUGAUCACCAGCAUUGGUUCGGUUCGGCUGAUCUGGCUGGAUUGGUGCAUGUUCCCUUCCUCCCUCACCGCUGCAUGUGGGUCCCUUUGGAAGCAGCGGACUCAGUUGAAGAGUCAGAUCCUCCUGAACAGAGCGAGGCCGGUCUUGGUCAAGGUACAGGUAGCUGAGCUCCCCUGCUAGAGUCUCCAAAUAAGCUCUCAGGGUCCUUUUGUAGGGAGAAAGCAGGGUAGUCUAGGUUCCAAGACUCCAGACACAUGCAAAUGAAGUGCUACCUGCAGCAGUCUGCCUUUCU
Molecule: small nuclear RNA, 337 nt
Filed under: Panthera pardus (leopard)
Lineage: Eukaryota; Metazoa; Chordata; Mammalia; Carnivora; Felidae
Description: 7SK RNA (ENSPPRG00000016373.1)
Rfam family: 7SK RNA
About the family: 7SK was discovered as an abundant small nuclear RNA in the mid-70s but a possible function has only recently been suggested. Two independent studies have found that 7SK RNA binds the CDK9/cyclin T complex (known as elongation factor P-TEFb). P-TEFb activates transcription by phosphorylating the C-terminal domain of RNA polymerase II.
Source: RNAcentral